Cannabis sativa is the source of this 1303-nucleotide long non-coding RNA. RefSeq lists it as uncharacterized. Lineage: Eukaryota; Viridiplantae; Streptophyta; Magnoliopsida; Rosales; Cannabaceae. The record is from RefSeq and is a predicted model, not a curated record. The transcript is spliced from 3 exons.
UAUGCUAAAAAUUAGGAGUAGAGAAUAAAACAAAUUGUUUCUCACUCUGUCGACGAUUGAAAACGAAUUGGUUUCUUAAUUCCUACUUUCUAAACGAAAACUAUUUGGGUUUCAUCUCUAUCAUCAUCUUCUUCAAUCUCAAUCUCUUCUCUCACAUCAAUUUGGGAGCCGUUUUUAUCAGCAAUGACAGUUCUGAAGCUCCGUAAUAGAGCGGGAACACACCCAAAUACGCCACGAUAACAAUCAGGCGACUAUUUAUUGAGAAGUGUUUAGGUGGAAAGUGUUUAGGUGGGGCUUAAUAAACAUACUUGUACUUGAGAAAUAAAUCAUAAUUUUAUAGUAUACAAGGAAUUUCUGUGGUGAGAAUGGCGAAGCCUUUCCAAAGAAGAUACGCCUCAGGUCAAAUUUGCUGGUUAAUAUUAGACCAUCUCCGGGAAUUCAAGUAAAUCUUUCUAACUAUUAAUUUAUUAAGUAGUAACUUAUAUAUACAUUACAAUAAUUAUGUAACGGUGUAGUAUCUUCUCCCAACGUUUGCUCUGUCCAUCUCCUCGAGCUUAGAUCUGAUAGAUCUAGCUUUUUUCAGAACGGAAACAAUGUCAGAAUUGAUUCGAUGUCGAGGUCUUUCAUGGCGGCCUUUUUGAGAUCGAUGUAGUUGGUGAAGGACUCUAUGACUUUCUUUUUCGUAUUUGUUCUUGAUAUUUUCUUUAAUUAUUCUAGGGAUUGUCUGGUUUUUUUUUUCCCUUUUUCUAAGAGUUUAAUCUUUGAUAAAUUUAAAGGCAUAAUUGAUCAUUGACUAUGAAUGUAUAACUGGACAUGAACAAGAUGACUUAGGAUUAGUAUUUAGGGUUGCCAUAGAUGUGGGUGACUACCCAAUAUUGCAAUCACUAUCAUAUUUAAAUGAAAACAUUUCGGAGGAAAAUAUAAAGGGACAUCAACUUAAUUAAGAACAAAAUUAAACUUUAUAUUGAAAAAGAAAUAGAACAAAUUUCAUUGUGAUAAUCACUGAUAUUUUUCUCUAUUUAUUGUUUAGGAGAAGUAUUUUGAAUUUGUACUAAUUGAACUGCCAUAUCGGAAACUUUUUUGCAACUUUUGAUAGGUGAAUUAGAGAAGCAGUUGGAUCUUUGCUUUCAGUCACGGGAGAGGGCAUCUUGGCAUGGUCUGGAGAUGAUAAUUUUGUUGUGGAGGAUAAAUCAAGGAUGCAACCUGAGGCAAUAUAUUUUAUUUAUUGUAUUCUAACUCCUCAAGUUGAUAAUAGCUAAUUCUUACAAUGUAUAUUUUAUAUGGCACCCAAUUAUUUUUGCAA